Molecule: ribosomal RNA, 520 nt
Filed under: uncultured bacterium
Lineage: Bacteria
Description: partial 16S ribosomal RNA
Rfam family: Bacterial small subunit ribosomal RNA
Source: RNAcentral
ACUCAAAUGAAUUGACGGGGAUCCGCACAAGCGGUGGAGCAUGUGGUUUAAUUCGACGGUAAACGAGGAACCUUACCAGGGCUUGAAAUCCUGCUGAAGACUUGCCGAAAGGUGAGUUGUCUCUCAAGGACAGUAGGACAGGUGCUGCACGGUUGUCGUCAGCUCGUAUCUUGAGACGUUCCCUUAAGUGGGGUAACGAGCGCAACCCCUACUGUGUGUUACAAGUGUCACACAGAACCGCCCCGCUCUUUGUACGUAAAUAAAUAUUUGCGUUUAAAGAGCGGGGAGGAAGGCGGGGAUGACGUCAAAUCAGCGUGGCCCUCUGAUGCCCUGGGCUACACACGUGCUACAAUGGUCAGAACAAAGGGUUGCCAAGGCGCAAGCCGGAGCUAAUCCCAAAAAUCUGGCCCCAGUUCAGAUUGGAGGCUGCAACUCGCCUCCAUGAAGUCGGAAUCGCUAGUAAUCGCGCAUCAGCUAUGGCGCGGUGAAUACGUUCUCGGAUCUUGUACACACCGCCCGU